AUGUGUUUUCAGAUAUGCUAUAUAAAGUUAUAUUUAUAUAUUUAAACAUUACGUGUUAGUGUAGUCAUUCAUUCCCAAGGCUAGUGUUAUAUCAGGGAGACUAUAAGACGCUGUAGAUUAUCCCUGGUUAUAUGCAUGGUGUUGAACAUGCACUUGUUAGAUAUAUAUCUCAUUAUUAUCAUUUUGUUCAACUCUUGACAGAAUCCUAAUUACAACUUUGUUAUGUGUUGUUGCUUGAGGUUGUGUGAGUGAAAGUUAUGGACGGGAUUGAUAUGUAGUGUUUUUAUUUCUUGCAGGGUGAAUGGCUGAACCUAUUCAUUGUUUAUAACUGUGUCUUACUUUUCAUAUUUUGAUGUUAUAAGGCAGUGAUGACAAGUAUUUAGCCUACUGGGUGAAAUUUGAUGUGUCAUGAUGUUAAUUCCCAAGUAUUCAAGAUUUCUGAAGUUUGCCCAUUGCUCAGACUAGUAUUUAUUCAAGACCUACAGAACUGGUUAUGUGCCUGUUGUAUGUGGGCACCUGUAAGAGAGAGGAACACUAUGAAAAAGGAAUUGUAAGGCUAUUUUUGUAUUAGUUGGAUCACAGAACAUUCUACCCUGUUUUCAUAACAAAAUGUAUUUCUUUUCAAUUUUCAUCAUUUAUUUGUUAAAAGUAAUGCUGGUCAAAUGGUCAGUUGACAUUCAUAUUUCACCACACAGAUUGGUCAAGCUGAUGGAGUAGGGAAAAUAUCAAGAGUUCUGUCCCUUGUCCUUGAUUCACAGACUUUGCUGAAAUUAUCUCCCUUGAUCUUUAGAGACUUUUCAACAUUUCGGAGUUUGAAAAUCAAGAUCCAAAUGUUGACACUGAUGAUAUUUUUCCACCUUUAGCAGAAAAACUGAUCCAUCAAAAGAAAAUUAUAUGGUCAUUGUAUCCAUUGUAAGAUGUAGGGUGUGAUUUUGAAGACUUUUGCUCACAUCUGGUUGUGCCAUCCGACUUAUUUAGAGCUAACUGUGAUAAGACAUUGUUGUGUCACUAUAUAUCCCACCUUUACAUGUUAUGCACUAUACUUUUAUUCUGUGAUGUGGUUUGACUUGAGGUCAUUGGAUGAAAUAAUACACACCGACAUAUCACAAAGUCAUUGACAGGAAGGUGUAAACAUGACAUUUUGUAUUUAUUAUUAUUACUAAUUGUUAUAACAGCGACCCAUAAUUACUGCCUUUGGCAGUUUAGUGUAAAAUUUCAUUAAUCUUGAUUCCCAAGAAAUUUUAAGAUAAUUAAGCUGGUUUUAUUUAACGGGUAGACUUAGAAUUUGACUGAACCAGCAGUUUCAUUGCAUUUCUUGAUUUUGUUCAAUUUUGUGAACAAUUUUUGGAAUGACAUUAUUUCUUGUGGACAGCUGACAAUGUUUUGUAUAUUAAUAUCCAGACAUCUCAUGGCCGUAUAACUGUUGUGUUUAGUCUAGUUGGUUGUACAAUGUAGUACAGGUA
Long non-coding RNA from Haliotis rubra (blacklip abalone), 1463 nucleotides. RefSeq lists it as uncharacterized. NCBI's taxonomy places the organism in Eukaryota, Metazoa, Mollusca, Gastropoda, Lepetellida, Haliotidae. The record is from RefSeq and is a predicted model, not a curated record. The transcript has 3 exons.